AGUAACUGCGAGUGAAAAGGGAUAAGCUCAGCGCUGAAUCUCUGUGGUUUAAUUACUGCAGCGAACUGUAGCGUAUAGGAAUAUACUAUGGCAUUAUGUAGAUAUCUAAGUUCUCGUUGAUUCGAGUUCCAAAGAAGGUUUAAGACCUGUAAGGUAUUUAACAUUAUGUCAAUUGGUUUAUUCUUACGAGUCGGGUUGUUUGGAAACGCAGCCCAAAGUAGGUGGUAAACUCCAUCUAAAGCUAAAUAUAACCGUGAGACCAAUAGUAAACAAGUACCGUGAGGGAAAGUUGAAAAGCACUCUGAAGAGAGAGUUAAAAGAACGUGAAAACGAUUAAGUGGAAGCAAACAGGUCUAUUGAGAGGUGUGUAGUUUUCUAURYAUCUGCUAAUACAUAUGUGGAGUUUCUAUUAUUCUAUUUUAAGAGGACUCACAUAUGUGAGAACCCUUAUAAUGGUUGAACGUUAUCUCCCUAUAUGAAUAUUAGCAUUUAUGAUAGUUACCUGUUUGACCCGUCUUGAAACACGGACCAAGAAGUUUAUUGUAUACGCRAGUCAUUAAGUGUUAAAACUUAUUGGCAUAAUGAAAGUAAAGGUUCACUUGUUGAGCURAUGUAUGAUAAAGUGUUUACGGACAUUUUAGCAGUACAGUCCUAUUCUUAUGGCUUGCCAUGGAGUGGAGAUAGAGCGUAUGCAAUGAGACCCGAAAGAUGGUGAUCUAUGCUUGAGCAGGAUGAAGCCGGAGGAAACUCUGGUGAAAGUCCGUAACGGUUCUGACGUGCAAAUCGAUCGUCUGACUUGAGUAUAGGGGCGAAAGAC
This 817-nucleotide ribosomal RNA is filed under the name Halicephalobus gingivalis. RNAcentral's name for it is "eukaryotic LSU rRNA". It matches the Rfam family "Eukaryotic large subunit ribosomal RNA", at positions 82 to 931 of the family's 3401-position model. Lineage: Eukaryota; Metazoa; Nematoda; Chromadorea; Rhabditida; Panagrolaimidae. The record is from RNAcentral.